UCGCGAUCAGUGUAUGCUCUCACACCCUAGGUCCGCUGCCUCCAAUGCCAGGAUCUGCACAAAAAUAUGCAUAAGUGUAGCAUGAGUAUACCUCAAUUGAUACUUAGUAAGUAUCAAGACUAACCUCAGUGAAGUAGUGUCGAGAUUCAAGUAAAAUGAUACUCACUAAUCAAAGAACCUAUGCAAUAUAUUAUUAACUGGCAACAGAAUAUGUAACAGAAAACAAUAUCAAUACUAUCGUUAGAACAUGUGAUAACAACUCAACGUAGAAAAGUCUGUCUUUGACAACAGUUAUCAAGUAGAAACAAAGGUAUAUGACAAAAUGUCAAAUAAAACUAGCAAAUAAUUUAAAAUACAUGACGAAGUUUAAAGAAAACAUAUACGAUAAAAAAUAGCAUCCAUGUUUCGUCACAUGAACAUCAUCAAGAGAAUAAACUAUGGAGAUUUGACGGUUGAUUUGGACUUACUUUUGGAAUCUAAUCAUGUAUUUGGACUUGUGGGGUUAUGGGUAGUCGGGAUCUACCCUUUGACUUGGGUUUUGACAGUUCAGGCUUGGGUUGAUUUUUAUUGACUUUUUGGAAUUUGAAUAAAGAUUGAAGUUUAUUGUAUGAAAUUGAUUUGUAUGGCGUUAUUUAAGGUCAUUGAGUAGUUUUUGGAUAGAUUCUAGCCGGUUGGAGAUAAGUUUCCAAGGAGAAUGCAUUUUGGAGUAUUUAUUUGGUCUGUUUGAGAUAAUUAUCUUGCCUAGUCUUAAGGGAGAGAAUACCCCUUGGGAUGUGACCUUAUUUGGCUAAUUGAAAUGUGCGAAAAGCGACAUAUAUGCAAGGUGACGAGCAUAUAUGCGAGUGCUAUGUGUGAUUUUGACCAGAUUUGACUUUAGGCCUCUAGUUUGCUUUAUUCGAACUGUGUACUUCCUAUGAUAUUUUCUUUAUCGCUUGUAUGGUUACGUGAACUAUUUGAGUCAUGUUAGAGACCAUUUAUUAGCUUUGAUAUCCUAUUUGAGCAUAAAUCUUGCUGUUGUAUGGCAUACAUGCCUAAUAUGAGUUGUUGUUGUACACUUCGCACAUGCAUACACCUUAGCAUGUUAUUUUUCUUAGUCCAUGAGUAUGUGAAUUGAUAUUUGUUGUUAGUAUACAUAUAUUCUUGUAUAUGUUUUCUGUGAUAUGAACUAGUUUGAGAUCAUGUGAGUUGUCCGUUCAACAUGUGGACAAGGAUUCAUCUCCCCCAGGGUAGUUCUCUCAUAUUUCUCCUUGAUGACGUACACGCGGAUUGUGAAUACUAAUUAGUGUUUUGAUUUUGUAUAUCUUUUCUAUAUGCAAAAUCCUUGGAUGUAUAUAUAUUUUACUUUGUAUCUUCUCUAUAUACUAGACUCAUAAUGUAUACAUACUUUUGCAUAUCUUCUCUAUAUGCUGAUUUAGUUGAUGUAAUGACUCACGAUACACAUCUUCUCUAUAUGUCCUCUCCCUGCAACUUGAUUGCUAUUCUCGCAUAUCAUCUUUAUAUACUGAACUAUUAGAUUGAUUACCAUGCUUAGAUCUGGUAUUGUUGUUGUUACCGUUGUUAAGUCCUUAAACCUACAUGUGAAAAAAAAAGAAUCUUUAAAUGACUAAGCCAGUCUUUCUUUUCCAAUUCUUAUCGUUAAAUUAAGUCAUUUUUAUUGCGAAUUAUUUGCUUUACUAUGUGGACUUGUUGCAAUAUUUGCUAAAUGCCAACAUGCUUUACUUCACUAAGUAUUAUCAUUAAUAGAAUAAAAUGUAACUUAUUAUGUGCUAUCCUUAUUUUUGACCAGUUAGUCAAAAUUACUUGCUAUACUUGUUUAUGUGUUAAUUUUUGACCUCAUAUUAAUGUCGCCACCAAGAUUAACGGCAUGUGAUUAAUAAUUAUCACAACACCACGCCUCUAAGGUGGCGCAUAUUUGUUUCUAAUAUUUUUUUCUUUUGUGUGUUUGAGUUAUAAUUGCUAUAAAGUUCACCUGAAUCAACCUCGCCGUAGAGAAGAAGAAGAAUACCUCAUUUUGCUUUGAGUUCCUUUUAUGUGGUCAUAAAUUGCGAGUGUUCUACAAAUUGGUAUUCUCUUUGGAUUACUUCGAAAGGUCAGUACUCUUAUUUCAAUUAAAGGUUUCUCCAUCUGAUUGCUAUGUCUUCACUACCUGACCGAUUCUUUGUAUGAGCGCCCUGUAUGUCUUUACUCGAUAUAGUCGUGAACCAUGU
RNAcentral lists this long non-coding RNA (2207 nucleotides) under Nicotiana tabacum (common tobacco). RNAcentral describes it as "long non-coding RNA (NTAB_LNC002697)". Lineage: Eukaryota; Viridiplantae; Streptophyta; Magnoliopsida; Solanales; Solanaceae. The record is from RNAcentral.